UUUGCUCUCGUCUAGUUUGGCAACUCUCAGGCAAACGAUUCAGCGAGUCCUAGCGAAUCGAGUCUGUACAGUGUCUUUAUGCUAAUAAGGCUAAGUAGGCUGUUACUACACACUUGCUGAGCUGGUGCGAACAUGGAGCACGCAAGACUCCUUCUCCUUCUGAUCAUGGGAAACUUCCUCGCAAGUACCGAUCUUUUAGACUGCUCUGUGGAGAAUAACACCACCUGUGACUGCGUUCACAAUGCCACAUUGGACACUGCUGAAUAUUAUGAGAAGUACAGAGACUGCGAUUGGAGUUUGAGGAACAAGGAGGAUAUAGUUCUUCAACUACUAACUCCAGUCCCACAUGUAACUGUCCCAUGCAGCUGGCAUGAAGUUUACUUGAAGUUGAACUGCGACAGCCCAAAGCAUGAAGUGAUUCUGCAUUGGUACAAGUUUGAAAGCAAAACUGAACACAUCAGUUCUGGAGAAAGUGAGUAGAACAUAAAAAUAAGCCCUUCCAUUUUGUAUUUAGGAAUUUCAUGGUAUUUAUUUUCUGAGUAAUUCUGGAUAGCAGCUGAAAGUUUAUAGCCUUUCUACGUUAAUUUGGAACCCAGUUUCUGUGACAGAAGAUUGACAGAUGAUUUUGUCACUUAUUAUUCUGAAUGCCUCAUUGUAUUAUUAUUUUGCAUUGGUUUUAGCUCCCCUUCAAAGUCAUGUGAGCAUUCUGUGUCUGUGUCUGUGGUGCUUGAGGUACUUACUAUAAAGCACUGACAAAACAUGCAUGACCACCGACGAUGAUAGAAGUGUACAUUAUGCCAUCCACAAAAAAGUUACAUAGUUUAUUUGAUCUGCAAGAAUGAUUUUUAGAGUACUUUCUAGGAGUUUUAAUUCACUAUAUGGCCAAAAGUUUGUGGAAACCUGACCAUCCCAUCCAUACAGCCCUGAAUUAUAUUAGGGGGUGGGGCUUAAGCCCUAUGGGGCCUUCAUGUGUUAACAUGAAGUUCGUCUUCGUUAUGGUACUGUGUGUGUGUGUGUGUGUGUGUGU
Long non-coding RNA from Ictalurus punctatus (channel catfish), 1027 nucleotides. The record is from Ensembl. Lineage: Eukaryota; Metazoa; Chordata; Actinopteri; Siluriformes; Ictaluridae.